This 253-nucleotide ribosomal RNA is filed under the name uncultured bacterium. RNAcentral describes it as "partial 16S ribosomal RNA". It matches the Rfam family "Bacterial small subunit ribosomal RNA", at positions 524 to 776 of the family's 1533-position model. The record is from RNAcentral.
UACGUAGGGGCCAAGCGUUGUCCGGAUUUAUUGGGCGUAAAGGGCGCGUAGGCGGCGUGACAAGUCACUUGUGAAAUCUCUGGGCUUAACCCAGAACGGCCAAGUGAAACUGUUGUGCUAGAGUGCAGAAGGGGCAAUCGGAAUUCUCGGUGUAGCGGUGAAAUGCGUAGAUAUCGAGAGGAACACCAGAGGUGAAGACGGGUUGCUGGGCUGACACUGACGCUGAGGCGCGAAAGCCAGGGGAGCAAACGGG